ACUCAAAUGAAUUGACGGGGACUUGCACAAGCAGUGGAUUAUGCGGUUUAAUUCGAUGACAAACGAAAAACCUUACCAGGGUUAGAAAUCUACGUGAAGACGAGCAGAAACGUUCGUCGUCCGCAAGGACUCGUAGACAGGUGAUGCAUGGCCGUCGUCAGUUCGUGAUUUGAAUUGUUCCCUUAAGUGGGGUAACGAACGCAACCCUCGUUGCCAGUUACAAGUGUCUGGCGAGACUGCCCCCGUUUGUGUACAUGAAGAGAUUCGUGUGCAGAAACGGGGGAGGAAGGCGAGGAUGACGCCAGGUCAGCAUGUCCCUCUGAUACCCUGGGCCACACGCAUAAUACAAUCGCCGCUACAACGGGUCGCGACGCCGCAAGGCUGAGCUAAUCCUAAGAAAAGCGGCGCCAGUUCGGAUUGGGGGCUGCAACUCGACCCCAUGAAGCCGGAAUUGCUAGUAAUCGCGGGUCAGCUAUACCGCGGUGAAUACGUUCUCAAGUCUUGUACACACCGCCCGU
RNAcentral lists this ribosomal RNA (518 nucleotides) under uncultured bacterium. Its description in RNAcentral is "partial 16S ribosomal RNA". It matches the Rfam family "Bacterial small subunit ribosomal RNA", at positions 899 to 1397 of the family's 1533-position model. The record is from RNAcentral.